GACGAACGCUGGCGGCGUGCUUAACACAUGCAAGUCGAACGAAGAGCGAUGGAAGCUUGCUUCUAUCAAUCUUAGUGGCGAACGGGUGAGUAACGCGUAAUCAACCUGCCCUUCAGAGGGGGACAACAGUUGGAAACGACUGCUAAUACCGCAUACGAUCUAAUCUCGGCAUCGAGGAUAGAUGAAAGGUGGCCUCUACAUGUAAGCUAUCACUGAAGGAGGGGAUUGCGUCUGAUUAGCUAGUUGGAGGGGUAACGGCCCACCAAGGCGAUGAUCAGUAGCCGGUCUGAGAGGAUGAACGGCCACAUUGGGACUGAGACACGGCCCAGACUCCUACGGGAGGCAGCAGUGGGGAAUCUUCCGCAAUAGACGAAAGUCUGACGGAGCAACGCCGCGUGAGUGAUGACGGCCUUCGGGUUGUAAAGCUCUGUUAAUCGGGACGAAAGGCCUUCUUGCGAAUAGUGAGAAUGAUUGACGGUACCGGAAUAGAAAGCCACGGCUAACUACGUG
RNAcentral lists this ribosomal RNA (510 nucleotides) under uncultured bacterium. Its description in RNAcentral is "partial 16S ribosomal RNA". It matches the Rfam family "Bacterial small subunit ribosomal RNA", at positions 28 to 507 of the family's 1533-position model. The record is from RNAcentral.